RNAcentral lists this ribosomal RNA (264 nucleotides) under Salmonella enterica subsp. enterica serovar Adelaide. Its description in RNAcentral is "partial 23S ribosomal RNA". It matches the Rfam family "Bacterial large subunit ribosomal RNA", at positions 2679 to 2925 of the family's 2925-position model. The record is from RNAcentral. Lineage: Bacteria; Pseudomonadati; Pseudomonadota; Gammaproteobacteria; Enterobacterales; Enterobacteriaceae. RNAcentral also lists the same sequence under 2 other names.
UAGUACGAGAGGACCGGAGUGGACGCAUCACUGGUGUUCGGGUUGUCAUGCCAAUGGCACUGCCCGGUAGCUAAAUGCGGAAGAGAUAAGUGCUGAAAGCAUCUAAGCACGAAACUUGCCCCGAGAUGAGUUCUCCCUGAGACUUAGAGUCUCCUGAAGGAACGUUGAAGACGACGACGUUGAUAGGCCGGGUGUGUAAGCGCAGCGAUGCGUUGAGCUAACCGGUACUAAUGAACCGUGAGGCUUAACCUUACAACGCCGAAG